Molecule: transfer RNA, 68 nt
Filed under: Marmota monax (woodchuck)
Lineage: Eukaryota; Metazoa; Chordata; Mammalia; Rodentia; Sciuridae
Description: tRNA.Ala
Rfam family: tRNA (bases 3-63)
About the family: Transfer RNA (tRNA) molecules are approximately 80 nucleotides in length. Their secondary structure includes four short double-helical elements and three loops (D, anti-codon, and T loops).
Source: RNAcentral
GUUGUGGCUCAGUGGUAGAGUGCUUGCCUAGCACACAUGAGGCCCUGGGUUCAAACCUCAGCAUUACA